Molecule: long non-coding RNA, 866 nt
Filed under: Ananas comosus (pineapple)
Lineage: Eukaryota; Viridiplantae; Streptophyta; Magnoliopsida; Poales; Bromeliaceae
Description: long non-coding RNA (ACOM_LNC011261)
Source: RNAcentral
GUGAAAACUAAUUAAUAUAUACAUAUAUUAAUAUAUGCCUAAGCGGGAAUACUAUCAAGUUAUUGGUGCUAUUAGAUUUUCAAUUUUUUAAUAAAAAAAUAGACGGUUAGGAUGAUAUGGGCCCCCUAAAAUUGAGUGAGUUAUUGGUUUAAUAGUAUAAUCUAACGGAUGAAAAUAGUCACAGAGUUAAAUCUAAUAGCGAAAAACUUGAUAAUACUAAACUCUUGGUGUUAUAGAUAGUAUUCCAGUCGGACUCUCUCUCUCUCUCUCUCUCUCUCUCUCUAUAUAUAUAUAUAUAUAUAUAUGAGUUCGGCUAUUAUAUUAUCAAUAUUACCAAUCUCUUGGAGUCUUGGUAUUAUGAUGCUAUUGAGUUUUCUGCUAUUGAAUCUAUCUUUUGAUCAUUUUCGCCCGUUAGACUAUACUAUUCAACCAACCACUCACUUAACUCUAAAGGACUACUAUCAUCCUAACCGCACAUCCUUUCAUCUAACGACCAAAAUUUCGAUACUACCAAAAGCUUAGUACUAUCGAUAGUAUAGAAAAAUAAUUAUAUAUAUAUAUAUAGAGAGAGAGAGAGUUGGAUUGGGCUACUAUUAGUAGCAAAAUUUUUUUGUUGCUACCAGUUUUUUAGCCUUUGGAUCAACUCUUUUCAUUAUUUCUAACCAUUAGAUUAAAUACUAUAAUCUAGUGGGGACCACUCAAUCCUAGGGAGACCACUCAACUCUAACCAACUAAUAUCAUCCUGACCAUAUAAUUUUUCAUCUAAGUAUUAAAAAUUUGAUAGCAAAAAAAACGUUUUACUAUUAAUAGUAUUCCAGCCUAAUUCUAUUUCUAUAUAUAUAUAUAUAUAUAUAUAUUCAUAAAAA